AGCGAACGCUGGCGGCAGGCUUAACACAUGCAAGUCGAGCGGGCACUUCGGUGUCAGCGGCAGACGGGUGAGUAACACGUGGGAACGUACCCUUUGGUUCGGAAUAACGCUGGGAAACUAGCGCUAAUACCGGAUACGCCCUUUUGGGGGAAGGCUUGCUGCCGAAGGAUCGGCCCGCGUCUGAUUAGCUAGUUGGUGGGGUAAUGGCCUACCAAGGCGACGAUCAGUAGCUGGUCUGAGAGGAUGAUCAGCCACACUGGGACUGAGACACGGCCCAGACUCCUACGGGAGGCAGCAGUAAUGAAUAUUGGACAAUGGGCGCAAGCCUGAUCCAGCCAUGCCGCGUGAGUGAUGAAGGCCUUAGGGUUGUAAAGCUCUUUUGUCCGGGACGAUAAUGACGGUACCGGAAGAAUAAGCCCCGGCUAACUUCGUG
This 433-nucleotide ribosomal RNA is filed under the name uncultured bacterium. RNAcentral describes it as "partial 16S ribosomal RNA". It matches the Rfam family "Bacterial small subunit ribosomal RNA", at positions 29 to 507 of the family's 1533-position model. The record is from RNAcentral.